RNAcentral lists this ribosomal RNA (464 nucleotides) under uncultured bacterium. RNAcentral's name for it is "bacterial SSU rRNA". It matches the Rfam family "Bacterial small subunit ribosomal RNA", at positions 340 to 787 of the family's 1533-position model. The record is from RNAcentral.
UACGGAAGGCAGCAGUGGGGAAUAUUGCACAAUGGGCGCAAGCCUGAUGCAGCCAUGCCGCGUGUAUGAAAAAGGCCUUUCGGGUUGUAAAGUACUUUCAGUCGUGAGGAAGGUGUUAAGGUUAAUAACCUUAGCAAUUGACGUUAGCGACAGAAGAAGCACCGGCUAACUCCGUGCCAGCAGCCGCGGUAAUACGGAGGGUGCGAGCGUUAAUCGGAAUUACUGGGCGUAAAGGGCACGCAGGCGGUUAAAUUAAAGUUGGAUGUGAAAAUCCCCGGGCUUAAACCUGGGAAUGGCAUUCAAGACUGGUUAGCUAGAGUCUUGUAGAGGGGGUAGAAAUUCCAUGUGUAGCGGUGAAAUGCGUAGAGAUGUGGAGGAAAUACCGGUGGCGAAAGGCGGCCCCUGGACAAAGACUGACGCUCAUGUGCGAAAAGCGUGGGGAGCAAAACAGGGAUUAGAUAACC